RNAcentral lists this signal recognition particle RNA (263 nucleotides) under Lachnospiraceae bacterium. RNAcentral describes it as "signal recognition particle sRNA large type". It matches the Rfam family "Bacterial large signal recognition particle RNA". Rfam says of the family: The signal recognition particle (SRP) is a universally conserved ribonucleoprotein involved in the co-translational targeting of proteins to membranes. Archaeal SRP consists of a 7S RNA and homologues of the eukaryotic SRP19 and SRP54 proteins. The record is from RNAcentral. Lineage: Bacteria; Bacillati; Bacillota; Clostridia; Lachnospirales; Lachnospiraceae.
CCACACAGCCGGGGAGUCAGCGGUGCCCUGUACCUGCAAUCCGCUACAGCAGGGGUGAUGGUUUGACUGAGGGCGCUUGUUUGUAGAGCUGCCCCUUGUAAGCGGUGUUGACGUUUGGGUCUCACGCAACGGAAACCUGUGAACCGUGUCAGGUCGGGAACGGAGCAGCACUAAGCAGGACCUUUCGUGUGACGUGAGGGUGCCUGGGCCGAGCUGGCUGCAAGGGUAACGUCUGGGGACGGCGUUCGAAGCAAACCGUGUGG